RNAcentral lists this ribosomal RNA (254 nucleotides) under uncultured bacterium. RNAcentral's name for it is "partial 16S ribosomal RNA". It matches the Rfam family "Bacterial small subunit ribosomal RNA", at positions 524 to 776 of the family's 1533-position model. The record is from RNAcentral.
UACGUAGGGGCCAAGCGUUGUCCGGAUUUAUUGGGCAUAAAGAGCUCGUAGGCGGUUGGGUAAGUCGGGUGUGAAAACUCCAGGCUCAACUUGGAGAUGCCACCCGAUACUGCUCUGACUUGAGUUCGGUAGGGGAGUGGGGAAUUCCUGGUGUAGCGGUGAAAUGCGCAGAUAUCAGGAGGAACACCGGUGGCGAAGGCGCCACUCUGGGCCGAAACUGACGCUGAGGAGCGAAAGCGUGGGUAGCAAACAGG